RNAcentral lists this ribosomal RNA (301 nucleotides) under uncultured bacterium. RNAcentral describes it as "partial 16S ribosomal RNA". It matches the Rfam family "Bacterial small subunit ribosomal RNA", at positions 509 to 807 of the family's 1533-position model. The record is from RNAcentral.
CAGUAGCCGCGGUAAUACGGAGGGUGCAAGCGUUAAUCGGAAUUACUGGGCGUAAAGCGUGCGUAGGUGGUGGUUUAAGUCCGUUGUGAAAGCCCUGGGCUCAACCUGGGAAUUGCAGUGGAUACUGGGUCACUAGAGUGUGGUAGAGGAUAGUGGAAUUUCCGGUGUAGCAGUGAAAUGCGUAGAGAUCGGAAGGAACAUCUGUGGCGAAGGCGACUAUCUGGGCCAACACUGACACUGAGGCACGAAAGCGUGGGGAGCAAACAGGAUUAGAUACCCGUGUAGUCCCUGUCUCUUAUAC